CCUACGGGAGGCAGCAGUAGGGAAUCUUUCACAAUGGGCGAAAGCCUGAUGGAGCAACGCCGCGUGCAGGAUGAAGGCCUUCGGGUUGUAAACUGCUUUUAUAAGCGAGAAAUAUGAUGGUAACUUAUGAAUAAGGAUCGGCUAACUACGUGCCAGCAGCAGCGGUCAUACGUAGGAUCCGAGCAUUAUCCGGAGUGACUGGGUGUAAAGAGUUGCGUAGGUGGCAUAGUAAGUAGCUAGUGAAAUCUGGUGGGUCAACCAUUCAGACUAUUAGCUAAACUGCUAAGCUCGAGACCGUUAGGGGUAACUGGAAUGUCUAGUGUAGGAGUGAAAUCCGUAGAUAUUAGAAGGAACACCGAUAGCGUAGGCAGGUUACUGGGACGGUUCUGACACUAAGGCACGAAAGCGUAGGGAGCAAACGGGAUUAGAUACCCUGGUAGUC
RNAcentral lists this ribosomal RNA (442 nucleotides) under uncultured bacterium. Its description in RNAcentral is "partial 16S ribosomal RNA". It matches the Rfam family "Bacterial small subunit ribosomal RNA", at positions 338 to 795 of the family's 1533-position model. The record is from RNAcentral.